This 496-nucleotide ribosomal RNA is filed under the name uncultured bacterium. Its description in RNAcentral is "partial 16S ribosomal RNA". It matches the Rfam family "Bacterial small subunit ribosomal RNA", at positions 29 to 507 of the family's 1533-position model. The record is from RNAcentral.
AUGAACGCUGGCGGCGUGCCUCAUACAUGCAAGUCGAGCGAACAGACGAGGAGCUUGCUCCUCUGACGUUAGCGGCGGACGGGUGAGUAACACGUGGAUAACCUACCUAUAAGACUGGGAUAACUUCGGGAAACCGGAGCUAAUACCGGAUAAUAUAUUGAACCGCAUGGUUCAAUAGUGAAAGACGGUUUUGCUGUCACUUAUAGAUGGAUCCGCGCCGCAUUAGCUAGUUGGUAAGGUAACGGCUUACCAAGGCAACGAUGCGUAGCCGACCUGAGAGGGUGAUCGGCCACCCUGGAACUGAGCCACGGUCCAGACUCCUACGGGAGGCAGCAGUAGGGAAUCUUCCGCAAUGGGCGAAAGCCUGACGGAGCAACGCCGCGUGAGUGAUGAAGGUCUUCGGAUCGUAAAACUCUGUUAUUAGGGAAGAACAAAUGUGUAAGUAACUAUGCACGUCUUGACGGUACCUAAUCAGAAAGCCACGGCUAACUACGUG